Molecule: ribosomal RNA, 900 nt
Filed under: Triticum aestivum (bread wheat)
Lineage: Eukaryota; Viridiplantae; Streptophyta; Magnoliopsida; Poales; Poaceae
Description: partial small subunit ribosomal RNA
Source: RNAcentral
AUGGAAUCGAGGGACAAGACUGCAGCAGCUGCUGGGCGCACGACGGGGAUGAAGCCAGCGACAUCAACAACUGACUUGGGUACGAUUCCUUUAACAUCCCGACUUGGGAACGAACUCCGCUGCACCUACAUCAAUCCUAGCCGGCUUCAAGAUGCCACGCGGACGCGAAGUGGAGGACCGCGACCCCAGAUGGCCAUGACGUCGUCCUUCGGCCCUGCUUCACUGGGGCGUGGUCUUUCAGUGUCGAGCAGCCUCAGGUGGGAGGCAUUGAGGGGCGCGUGGCUCUGGUGUUGCGCACCGGUGGCGGCAGCCAGCAUCGGCAGUAAGCUCAUGGUUUUCAUCCCCUCCCUGUCUUCCCCUUUGACUCUCUCAUACUCUGAACCGUCCGCCACAUGGACACCAACGCACAGGCAAAGCGCCGGCAAGGACAUCUCAUCAUCGAUGAUGCUGUCCAUCACCAGAGUCAACCGGGUUCGUCGGACGCAGGCUCGUGCAAAAGCUUCUAUACGGAUCACAACAACACUGAAUACAGGAAACUUGUUCUCAUAUCGGGUGAAAACUAGUUCCUUCUUCUCAAUAAAAAGCUUAGCAAACCUGAAUGUAAGCCAUCCCUCUUGUGCUCAACUCCUACAAAAAUUGUGGCAGUUACCUGUAGGUCACUUGCAGUUAGCUAGCAACAUGGCUCCCGAUAACCAGGCCAUCAGGGGCAUUCCACACAACCCAAACUGCUUGCUUUGCUCGACGAUGCCGAAAACGGCUGCUCACCUGCUGGCAGACUGCCCCUUCUCGGUAGAGGUUUGGAACUGCAUUAACAACAAGCUGGGACACCCGUUCUCCAUGCUACGGAUGGCGACAACGGUGACCACCAGUGGCCGAUCCCUCAAAGCAUCAUGGACAUGA